GUGGGGAAUAUUCCGCAAUGGACGAAAGUCUGACGGAGCAACGCCGCGUGAGUGAUGAAGGUUUUCGGACUGUAAAGCUCUGUUGUUUGGGACGAAAGUGCCUGUUGCGAACAGUUACGGGUAUUGACGGUACUAAACGAGGAAGCCACGGCUAACUACGUGCCAGCAGCCGCGGUAAUACGUAGGUGGCAAGCGUUGUCCGGAAUUAUUGGGCGUAAAGAGCAGGUAGGUGGGAAUCUAAGUCUGUUGUUAAAAUGCGGGGCUCAACCCCGUAUUGCGAUGGAAACUGGGUUUCUUGAGUGCAGGGGAGGAAAGGGGAAUUCCCAGUGUAGCGGUGAAAUGCGUAGAUAUUGGGAGGAACACCAGUGGCGAAGGCGCCUUUCUGGACUGUGUCUGACGCUGAGAUGCGAAAGCCAGGGUAGCGAACGGGAUUAGAUACCCUUGUAGUCC
Molecule: ribosomal RNA, 450 nt
Filed under: uncultured bacterium
Lineage: Bacteria
Description: partial 16S ribosomal RNA
Rfam family: Bacterial small subunit ribosomal RNA
Source: RNAcentral